GUCCCUUCAAAUUGCAAUCUUGAGCUCCCUCACCACGCCACUCCAAUCCGCAUCUCCGACUUCUCUUGUCAUUUUCUCAGGGAAUAGCCCCACACACGUACGAAUAGGGUCGCUAAGACAAAGGAUAUACAGUCCUGGUGUACGGCCGACGUCUCAGCAACCGAACCUGUUUGACUACCUUGGGUGCCUGGGACAGGGUGGCAAUGGCAAACGACAAAG
RNAcentral lists this long non-coding RNA (219 nucleotides) under Phoenix dactylifera (date palm). RNAcentral's name for it is "long non-coding RNA (PDAC_LNC004929)". Lineage: Eukaryota; Viridiplantae; Streptophyta; Magnoliopsida; Arecales; Arecaceae. The record is from RNAcentral.